Molecule: ribosomal RNA, 253 nt
Filed under: uncultured bacterium
Lineage: Bacteria
Description: partial 16S ribosomal RNA
Rfam family: Bacterial small subunit ribosomal RNA
Source: RNAcentral
UACGGAGGGGGCUAGCGUUGUUCGGAAUUACUGGGCGUAAAGCGCGUGUAGGCGGCUAAGUAAGUCGGGCGUGAAAUCCCACGGCUCAACCGUGGAAGUGCACUCGAAACUGCAUAGCUAGAGUCCUGGAGAGGAAGGUGGAAUGCUUGGUGUAGAGGUGAAAUUCGUAGAUAUCAAGCGGAACACCGGUGGCGAAGGCGGCCUUCUGGACAGUGACUGACGCUGAGACGCGAAAGCGUGGGGAGCAAACAGG